This is an RNA transcript of Oryctolagus cuniculus (rabbit), 3391 nucleotides long. It is a transcript of the gene named ubiquitin C-terminal hydrolase L5, with no coding region annotated. NCBI's taxonomy places the organism in Eukaryota, Metazoa, Chordata, Mammalia, Lagomorpha, Leporidae. The record is from RefSeq and is a predicted model, not a curated record.
UGUCGGGAAGUAGGCGGGGUGACGUGGGUCUGACGCGCUCCGCGGCGGGUUUGCGAGAUCUGGGGCUGGCGGCAGCUGGUGCUGGCUGGCGGCUGCCGAGAGCGAGCGGCGGAGCGGGGCGGUGUGUGGCCGGGGACAUGACGGGCAAUGCCGGGGAGUGGUGCCUCAUGGAAAGCGACCCCGGGGUCUUCACCGAGCUCAUUAAAGGAUUCGGUUGCCGAGGAGCCCAAGUAGAAGAAAUAUGGAGUUUAGAGCCUGAGAAUUUUGAAAAAUUAAAGCCAGUUCAUGGAUUGAUUUUUCUUUUCAAGUGGCAGCCAGGAGAAGAACCGGCAGGCUCUGUGGUUCAGGACUCCAGACUUGAUACAAUAUUUUUUGCCAAGCAGGUAAUUAAUAAUGCUUGUGCCACUCAAGCCAUAGUAAGUGUGUUGUUGAACUGUACCCAUCAAGAUGUCCAUUUAGGAGAGACGUUAUCAGAGUUUAAAGAAUUUUCACAAAGUUUUGAUGCAGCUAUGAAAGGCUUGGCACUGAGCAAUUCAGAUGUGAUUCGACAAGUACACAACAGUUUUGCCAGGCAGCAAAUGUUUGAAUUUGAUGCGAAGACAUCGGCCAAAGAAGAAGAUGCUUUUCACUUUGUCAGUUAUGUUCCUGUUAAUGGACGACUAUAUGAAUUAGAUGGAUUAAGAGAAGGACCGAUUGAUUUAGGUGCAUGCAAUCAAGAUGACUGGAUCAGUGCAGUGAGACCAGUCAUAGAAAAAAGGAUACAAAAGUACAGUGAAGGUGAAAUUCGAUUUAACUUAAUGGCCAUUGUGUCUGACAGAAAAAUGAUAUAUGAACAGAAGAUAGCAGAGUUACAAAGACAACUUGCAGAGGAGGAACCCAUGGAUACAGAUCAGGGUAGUAAUAUGUUAAGUGCUAUUCAAUCAGAAGUUGCCAAAAACCAGAUGCUUAUUGAAGAAGAAGUACAGAAAUUAAAAAGAUACAAGAUUGAAAAUAUCAGAAGAAAGCAUAAUUAUCUGCCUUUUAUUAUGGAAUUGUUAAAGACCUUAGCAGAACACCAACAAUUAAUACCACUAGUAGAAAAGAUAUUCUGAUAUAGGGGAAGGAAUCUUUAAUAAGUCCCCCAAGUGAUUCUAAUGCAACUGGUCUGUGUACCACAUUUUGAGAAACACUUUGAGAAGACACUACUAGGCAAAUAAAAUUUUGGACCAUUAAUUUAAAGACCAGACUACAUGGCAAAAGAAAAACAGAAUGCAAAGAAAGCUCAGGAAACCAAAUGAAGAAGAUUGUUUGACUGUGUUCACGUUUCUGCUUCUUCCACUGAUGUUCAUGGAAACCAUUAAGUAUACCGAACUUUGAGCAACAUCCUCAUUGAUUCAGUGCACGUUUGGCAGUAGUGCCAGUCUGUCUUGUCUUUAGUGCAUGGACUCAUAAACUUCUUCCCUAGCUGCAUCAUGUGCAUGUAAUGCAUAUUAAAUAAAGUGGUAAUAAGAGUGCUUGCCCAAAUUCCAUUAUUUGACAUUGGAACUGAGAACUGCUAGAUAUGUAUCAUACCAUAAGUAACUUACAAAGUGCAUAAAUGGUAUUCUUUAUCUGCAACUGUUGUACUUACAAUUUUCUGAUCUUUGUAUUCAGUUGCAUAGUUACAAUUUAUAAAUUGCAGAUCCCAACUAAACUGGAUGUCCUGUUAUCAUUAGUGGGAAAAAAAAUCAGCAUUUUUAUCUUUGAUAUAUGAGUGUUUUGAGGAUGUUAAAACAAAUUGUAUCUCCUAUAUCAAUUAUUUGAAAAAGUAUGAUUUUUAAGGCUGAUAAUUUGAAGUGAGCAAAAGUACAAUUUUCAUCACAAUUUUUGCAGACACUUCAGGUGUUUGGGGUUAAUCAUUUACGUAUUGUAGAGUUGUCCUGGGAAUGUCUGAGUACUAUGCUUCAGGUUAAGAAUAAAUUGUAAAUCUUAAAAUGUUUUGGUGUUACUUGCAGUUUGUCAACCUUUUUUUUUAAGUUGUUAAGCUGUGUCUAUUGAAAAUGGUUGACAAUUCAGGCUACCUGCUUUGAAGAAGUGACGGCAGUGGGGGAAUCCUUCUGUGCCAAUUUGAACAAAAUUAGUAUACCCGACACUUUUCUAGAGCCAUGUACAAUUUGCUUCACAGUGGAUUUUUUUAAUUGCUUUUAAGAGUUGCUUUUUUUUCUUAGAAAGUAAUGCUGUACUAUAUUCUUGUUCCUGAUCUUUUCCAAGGUAAACUUUAAAGGAAAUUUUAUAAAAGUUUUUAUAAGGAAAUCUACCUUUUUCUUUACCAAGCACGUAUUUGAAGCUGAUUCAUGACUUUUAAAACAUUUUAUUAUUUAUUGUAAAAUAAAUUUGACAUAAUUUAUUUUAUUAGGGAAAACUGUGUGCCCAUCUUUCAGCUUCAACACAUGAGUUUUUGAAGAUUAUUUUUAAGCUUACUAAUUGUGUAUUAAAUGACUUAAACUAAUGAAGGAAAAUUGGUGGUAAACUGAAUAGAAAAAUAAGCAAAAUAUUUUUUCACACAGAAUUUAAAUUGAUACUAAAGAGUAAUGUGUAGGUUUUCAGUUAUUUGUGGGUAAAUAUAUUUUGGUCUUGAUACAGUAGUAAUUAUGGAGUGUUUCAAAGCUGUGAUACAAUUUUUAAAAACAAUUUCCUAAGGCCUAUUUUAGGCUCAUGUUGAUCCCAUUAAUUUAUUUCAGUUUAAUUUGUAUAAUCUCUUUUAUUGAGGCUUAAAUUUUGUAAAACAAUGUAAGGGUUAUUAUAGUAAGUAGUACCCAGUAAUCAAUAUGCCAUGAUGCUGACGUAAGGAUCAACAAAUGAGCGAAGUAGAAAAGAGAGCCUAAAACAGAUUCACAUUUAUGUGAUCACUUGAAUUUCAACAAAGGUAGCAAAGGAAUCCAACAGGGAAGGAAACUCUUUUGAAAAAUGUAGCCAGAAUAGAAGAGCUGAAUAUCCACAUGGAAAACAAUGAACUAUGACCCCCUACCUCACAAAAGUUAAUUUUAGGUGCUUCAUAGACCUAAGGAUACCGCUAAAAAGUAUAUUGCUUUUCAGCAGAAUGCAUAGGUGGGUAUAUUUGUGACUGGAGAUAGCCCAAGGUUUCUUAGGUCACAGAAAGCAAUACUCAUAAAAGAUCCAAGAUUAGGGUUUGUCACUGAAAGACACUGUUAAUAAAAGUAACUAGUAUCAAAUAGCGUUUAAAAAAUAACUUUAUAAAACUACUGUAUUUAUAGAUACAGACAUUUUUGGUUAUUAAUCUAAUUCUACUAAAAUUUCCUGAUAGGAAUUUCCAUAGCUUUAGAAUGGUUUAUUUGCUGCUGCUUUGAUGAUUGCAAAUGCAUUGUUACACUUAAUGAUUAUUUCUGCCUGUGAAUAAAGAAAUAUGACUUGA